CAGCCGCCGCGGGAAUACGUAGGUGGCGAGCGUUGUCCGGAAUUAUUGGGCGUAAAGGGCUCGCAGGCGGUUUCUUAAGUCUGAUGUGAAAGCCCCCGGCUCAACCGGGGAGGGUCAUUGGAAACUGGGAAACUUGAGUGCAGAAGAGGAGAGUGGAAUUCCACGUGUAGCGGUGAAAUGCGUAGAGAUGUGGAGGAACACCAGUGGCGAAGGCGACUCUCUGGUCUGUAACUGACGCUGAGGAGCGAAAGCGUGGGGAGCGAACAGGAUUAGAUACCCCGGUAGUCCCUGUCUCUUAUAC
This 301-nucleotide ribosomal RNA is filed under the name uncultured bacterium. Its description in RNAcentral is "partial 16S ribosomal RNA". It matches the Rfam family "Bacterial small subunit ribosomal RNA", at positions 509 to 807 of the family's 1533-position model. The record is from RNAcentral.